GGCCUUAUGGUCUGGUAAUUGGAAUGAGUACAAUUUAAAUCCCUUAACGAGGAUCAAUUGGAGGGCGAGUCUGGUGCCAGCAGCCGCGGUAAUUCCAGCUCCAAUAGCGUAUAUUAAAGUUGUUGCAGUUAAAAAGCUCGUAGUUGAAUUUCUGGUACGGUGCGCCUGGCCCGCUGCCGCAAGGUACGCGAGUGUCGGUGUGCGUCUGCCAUCUUUGUAGGGAAACUCCUCUUUACUGGGGCGUGGAACUACAUCUUUUACUUUGAAAAAAUUAGAGUGUUUAAAGCAGGCUUGCGCUAUGAAUACAUUANCAUGGAAUAAUAAUUUAGGACUUCGUUUCUAUUUUGUUGGUUUCUAGGGAUGAAGUAAUGAUUGAUAGGGAUAGUUGGGGGUGCUAGUAUUCAUCGGCCAGAGGUGAAAUUCUUGGAUUCGAUGAGGACUAACUUAUGCGAAAGCAUUCACCAAGGAUGUCUUCUUUAAUCAAGAACGAAAGUUGGGGGAUCGAAGACGAUCAGAUACCGUCGUAGUCUCAACCAUAAACUAUACCGACUAGGGAUUGGUGGAAGUUGCCUUUUCGACUCCAUCAGCACCUUAUGAGAAAUCAGAAGUCUUUGGGUUCUGGGGGGAGUAUGGUCGCAAGGCUGAAACUUAAAGGAAUUGACGGAAGGGCA
Molecule: ribosomal RNA, 671 nt
Filed under: Cercomonadida environmental sample
Lineage: Eukaryota; Cercozoa; Cercomonadida
Description: SSU rRNA
Rfam family: Eukaryotic small subunit ribosomal RNA
Source: RNAcentral